GAUGAACGCUGGCGGCGUGCCUAAUACAUGCAAGUCGAGCGAACGGACGAGAAGCUUGCUUCUCUGAUGUUAGCGGCGGACGGGUGAGUAACACGUGGAUAACCUACCUAUAAGACUGGGAUAACUUCGGGAAACCGGAGCUAAUACCGGAUGAUAUUUUGAACCGCAUGGUUCAAAAGUGAAAGACGGUCUUGCUGUCACUUAUAGAUGGAUCCGCGCUGCAUUAGCUAGUUGGUAAGGUAACGGCUUACCAAGGCAACGAUGCAUAGCCGACCUGAGAGGGUGAUCGGCCACACUGGAACUGAGAAACGGUCCAGACUCCUACGGGAGGAAGCAGUAGGGAAUCUUCCGCAAUGGGCGAAAGCCUGACGGGGCAACGCCGCGUGAGUGAUGAAGGUCUUCGGAUCGUAAAACUCUGUUAUUAGGGAGGAACAUAUGUGUAAGGAACUGUGCACAUCUUGACGGUACCUAAUCAGAAAGCCACGGCUAACUACGUG
RNAcentral lists this ribosomal RNA (497 nucleotides) under uncultured bacterium. RNAcentral's name for it is "partial 16S ribosomal RNA". It matches the Rfam family "Bacterial small subunit ribosomal RNA", at positions 28 to 507 of the family's 1533-position model. The record is from RNAcentral.